UCCUUUCCCUGAACGCAAAGUUUACUGGAAGUUCCCAUGAUGCGUAUGUCAUUAGACAAUCAGGGAUAUGGCACAGAUUAAGAUCAAGUCAACGAGCAGACAUGUGGUUAUUGGGAGACCGUGGAUAUCCUUGCACCCCCUGGCUCAUGACUCCUUACCGUAAUCCCAGGCCAGGACCACAGACGGCAUUUAACUCCGCGCUUACUGCCACUAGGCAGCUGGUGGAGCGCACAAUUGGGGUCCUUAAAGGGCGGUUUCGUGUGCUCCACCGCACUGGUGGCGACAUCAUGUAUUCGCCGGAGAUGGCAAGUAAAAUAGUGGUCCUGUGCGCUAUACUCCACAAUAUCGCGGUAAGGAGUAGCGUAGAGCUUCCUCAGACAGAGGAAUUGCCUGAUGAGGAGCCAGGGGUUGUCCGACACUUCGGUGGGGGGAGUGUUACAAGGAGGGGGAGCCAAGUCAGGGCAAGCAUUGUUGCUGAAUUUUUCAGCUGAAAGACCACACAAACUGAGGACGACCACAACGGCAAGCACCACAUGAUGCACCAGCUCAGCACCCUUCCCCUUCUCACUCCCCCUCCACUUCCCAGUCCCCCUCCCCUUCUCACUCCCCCUCCCCUUCUCACUCCCCCUCCCCUUCUCACUCCCCCUCAGCUUCCCAAUCCCCCUCAGCUUCCCAAUCACCCUCAGCUUCACAA
Long non-coding RNA from Pseudophryne corroboree (corroboree frog), 694 nucleotides. RefSeq lists it as uncharacterized. The transcript is spliced from 4 exons. The record is from RefSeq and is a predicted model, not a curated record. Lineage: Eukaryota; Metazoa; Chordata; Amphibia; Anura; Myobatrachidae.